UGAGGAAUAUUGCACAAUGGGCGAAAGCCUGAUGCAGCAACGCCGCGUGAGGGACGAAGGCCUUCGGGUCGUAAACCUCUUUUCUGGGGAAAGAGACAGGACGGUACCUCAGGAAUAAGUCUCGGCUAACUACGUGCCAGCAGCCGCGGUAAAACGUAGGAGGCGAGCGUUAUCCGGAUUUACUGGGCGUAAAGCGCACGCAGGCGGUUCCGUUAGUCGGACGUGAAAGCUCCUGGCUUAACUGGGAGAGGCCGUUCGAUACUGCGGGACUUGAGGUUGGAAGAGGGGUGUGGAAUUCCCGGUGUAGUGGUGGAAUGCGUAGAUAUCGGGAGGAACACCUGUGGCGAAAGCGGCACCCUGGUCCACACCUGACGUUGAGGUGCGAAAGCGUGGGUAGCAAACAG
Molecule: ribosomal RNA, 404 nt
Filed under: uncultured bacterium
Lineage: Bacteria
Description: bacterial SSU rRNA
Rfam family: Bacterial small subunit ribosomal RNA
Source: RNAcentral